Molecule: transfer RNA, 68 nt
Filed under: Sepiola affinis
Lineage: Eukaryota; Metazoa; Mollusca; Cephalopoda; Sepiida; Sepiolidae
Also listed under: 4 other names
Description: tRNA-Asn
Source: RNAcentral
CAGUGAAAAGCCAAAUCAGAGGCAUUUAACUGUUAAUUAAAAAAUUGUAAAUUUAUUUACUUCGCUGG